UCCCUGGUGUCUCAGAUGGUACAGAAUCUGCUUUCAAUGCAGGAUACCUGGGUUCGAUCCCCAGAUUGGGAA
RNAcentral lists this transfer RNA (72 nucleotides) under Bos indicus x Bos taurus (hybrid cattle). It matches the Rfam family "tRNA". From Rfam's summary of the family: Transfer RNA (tRNA) molecules are approximately 80 nucleotides in length. Their secondary structure includes four short double-helical elements and three loops (D, anti-codon, and T loops). The record is from Rfam by way of RNAcentral. Lineage: Eukaryota; Metazoa; Chordata; Mammalia; Artiodactyla; Bovidae.